This 2803-nucleotide ribosomal RNA is filed under the name Klebsiella pneumoniae. Its description in RNAcentral is "bacterial LSU rRNA". It matches the Rfam family "Bacterial large subunit ribosomal RNA". Lineage: Bacteria; Pseudomonadati; Pseudomonadota; Gammaproteobacteria; Enterobacterales; Enterobacteriaceae. The record is from RNAcentral.
GGGUUGUGAGGUUAAGCGACUAAGCGUACACGGUGGAUGCCCUGGCAGUCAGAGGCGAUGAAGGACGUGCUAAUCUGCGAAAAGCGUCGGUAAGGUGAUAUGAACCGUUACAGCCGGCGAUGUCCGAAUGGGGAAACCCAGUGUGAUUCGUCACACUAUCGUUAACUGAAUACAUAGGUUAACGAGGCGAACCGGGGGAACUGAAACAUCUAAGUACCCCGAGGAAAAGAAAUCAACCGAGAUUCCCCCAGUAGCGGCGAGCGAACGGGGAGCAGCCCAGAGUCUGAAUCAGCUUGUGUGUUAGUGGAACGGUCUGGAAAGUCCGACGGUACAGGGUGAUAGUCCCGUACACCAAAAUGCACAGGCUGUGAACUCGAAGAGUAGGGCGGGACACGUGGUAUCCUGUCUGAAUAUGGGGGGACCAUCCUCCAAGGCUAAAUACUCCUGACUGACCGAUAGUGAACCAGUACCGUGAGGGAAAGGCGAAAAGAACCCCGGCGAGGGGAGUGAAAAAGAACCUGAAACCGUGUACGUACAAGCAGUGGGAGCACCUUCGGGUGUGACUGCGUACCUUUUGUAUAAUGGGUCAGCGACUUAUAUUCUGUAGCAAGGUUAACCGUAUAGGGGAGCCGCAGGGAAACCGAGUCUUAACUGGGCGUUAAGUUGCAGGGUAUAGACCCGAAACCCGGUGAUCUAGCCAUGGGCAGGUUGAAGGUUGGGUAACACUAACUGGAGGACCGAACCGACUAAUGUUGAAAAAUUAGCGGAUGACUUGUGGCUGGGGGUGAAAGGCCAAUCAAACCGGGAGAUAGCUGGUUCUCCCCGAAAGCUAUUUAGGUAGCGCCUCGUGAACUCAUCUUCGGGGGUAGAGCACUGUUUCGGCUAGGGGGUCAUCCCGACUUACCAACCCGAUGCAAACUACGAAUACCGAAGAAUGUUAUCACGGGAGACACACGGCGGGUGCUAACGUCCGUCGUGAAGAGGGAAACAACCCAGACCGCCAGCUAAGGUCCCAAAGUCAUGGUUAAGUGGGAAACGAUGUGGGAAGGCACAGACAGCCAGGAUGUUGGCUUAGAAGCAGCCAUCAUUUAAAGAAAGCGUAAUAGCUCACUGGUCGAGUCGGCCUGCGCGGAAGAUGUAACGGGGCUAAACCAUGCACCGAAGCUGCGGCAGCGACACUAUGUGUUGUUGGGUAGGGGAGCGUUCUGUAAGCCUGCGAAGGUGUGCUGUGAGGCAUGCUGGAGGUAUCAGAAGUGCGAAUGCUGACAUAAGUAACGAUAAAGCGGGUGAAAAGCCCGCUCGCCGGAAGACCAAGGGUUCCUGUCCAACGUUAAUCGGGGCAGGGUGAGUCGACCCCUAAGGCGAGGCCGAAAGGCGUAGUCGAUGGGAAACAGGUUAAUAUUCCUGUACUUGGUGUUACUGCGAAGGGGGGACGGAGAAGGCUAUGUUAGCCGGGCGACGGUUGUCCCGGUUUAAGCAUGUAGGCUGAUUGUCCAGGCAAAUCCGGAUAAUCAAGGCUGAGGUGUGAUGACGAGGCACUACGGUGCUGAAGUAACAAAUGCCCUGCUUCCAGGAAAAGCCUCUAAGCAUCAGGUAACAUCAAAUCGUACCCCAAACCGACACAGGUGGUCAGGUAGAGAAUACCAAGGCGCUUGAGAGAACUCGGGUGAAGGAACUAGGCAAAAUGGUGCCGUAACUUCGGGAGAAGGCACGCUGGUGUGUAGGUGAAGUCCCUGCGGAUGGAGCUGAGACCAGUCGAAGAUACCAGCUGGCUGCAACUGUUUAUUAAAAACACAGCACUGUGCAAACACGAAAGUGGACGUAUACGGUGUGACGCCUGCCCGGUGCCGGAAGGUUAAUUGAUGGGGUUAUCCGUAAGGAGAAGCUCUUGAUCGAAGCCCCGGUAAACGGCGGCCGUAACUAUAACGGUCCUAAGGUAGCGAAAUUCCUUGUCGGGUAAGUUCCGACCUGCACGAAUGGCGUAAUGAUGGCCAGGCUGUCUCCACCCGAGACUCAGUGAAAUUGAACUCGCUGUGAAGAUGCAGUGUACCCGCGGCAAGACGGAAAGACCCCGUGAACCUUUACUAUAGCUUGACACUGAACAUUGAGCCUUGAUGUGUAGGAUAGGUGGGAGGCUUUGAAGCGUGGACGCCAGUCUGCGUGGAGCCAACCUUGAAAUACCACCCUUUAAUGUUUGAUGUUCUAACGUUGGCCCCUGACCGGGGUUGCGGACAGUGUCUGGUGGGUAGUUUGACUGGGGCGGUCUCCUCCCAAAGCGUAACGGAGGAGCACGAAGGUUAGCUAAUCCUGGUCGGACAUCAGGAGGUUAGUGCAAUGGCAUAAGCUAGCUUGACUGCGAGCGUGACGGCGCGAGCAGGUGCGAAAGCAGGUCAUAGUGAUCCGGUGGUUCUGAAUGGAAGGGCCAUCGCUCAACGGAUAAAAGGUACUCCGGGGAUAACAGGCUGAUACCGCCCAAGAGUUCAUAUCGACGGCGGUGUUUGGCACCUCGAUGUCGGCUCAUCACAUCCUGGGGCUGAAGUAGGUCCCAAGGGUAUGGCUGUUCGCCAUUUAAAGUGGUACGCGAGCUGGGUUUAGAACGUCGUGAGACAGUUCGGUCCCUAUCUGCCGUGGGCGCUGGAGAAUUGAGGGGGGCUGCUCCUAGUACGAGAGGACCGGAGUGGACGCAUCACUGGUGUUCGGGUUGUCAUGCCAAUGGCACUGCCCGGUAGCUAAAUGCGGAAGAGAUAAGUGCUGAAAGCAUCUAAGCACGAAACUUGCCCCGAGAUGAGUUCUCCCUGAGACU